RNAcentral lists this ribosomal RNA (252 nucleotides) under uncultured bacterium. Its description in RNAcentral is "partial 16S ribosomal RNA". It matches the Rfam family "Bacterial small subunit ribosomal RNA", at positions 1249 to 1500 of the family's 1533-position model. The record is from RNAcentral.
ACGAAGCAGCGAUGCAGAGCAAACCCCUAAAAAAUCGUCUCAGUUCGGAUUGCAGGCUGCAACCCGCCUGCAUGAAGCCGGAAUUGCUAGUAAUCGCGGAUCAGCAUGCCGCGGUGAAUACGUUCCCGGGCCUUGUACACACCGCCCGUCACACCAUGGGAGUCGGUAACACCCGAAGCCAGUAGCCCAACCGCAAGGAGGACGCUGUCGAAGGUGGGAUUGAUGACUGGGGUGAAGUCGUAACAAGGUAUC